UAUAUUAGAAAUCAAGAAAAUUCAAUUUUGCCAAACAUCAUAUUCCCUAAGUAUUCAGGUUUUCUGAAUUCUACUCUAGUGAGUAAAGCACUGUGAAAGAUUGGCUCUUUUUGUUUUUUUUUUAAUCCCCAUGGCUGAGAAUAUCAACUGCGUUAAUCAUUUUAAAAUUCUUACCCCCUGUAGAAAUGGACAAUUUCUUUUUUCCUCAAUGACCUGAUAGCUAGCUUCUUGUGUAGAAAAGAACAUUGAUUAAACCUCAGGACAUAAUUAUUAGCUGUGUAAUCUUGGCUAUGAGAGUUAGUCUCUGGGACUGUAAGUUUCCUUAUUUGUAAACAGGAAGAAUACUAAGUAGUACCCUCGGUUAUGGUAAACAUUAAGUCAGUUAAUGUAUAGAAAGGAUCUACAAAGGCAUACUGUACGUGCAGAAUAAAUAUUAAUCAGCUACAUUUCUCCUUCUUUUGUCAAUGGCGUGGAAUCAAGAAACCAGAUAUUUUUAUGAUUUAAAUUCAUAGUGUUAGCUUAUGCAGACACUUAAGCAAUUAAAGCCCUUGUCUGUAAUACAUCUCUUAUUUUUCUUCCAGCGCUGAAACCUGUCAGAUAAAUAUUGUGUAAAGUUGUUUUCAAGAGCAGUUAUAGGGUGCAGGGAAGUGAAAGUAUUCAGCAUUGCUACCCAAAUGGUUAUAAAAUCUGGUCUGUAGGAUGCCUGAGAAGUAACUCAUUGCUUCACAAAGAGUCAGGUGAUAUUGGAAUCCAUUUAAGCAGAGGUGAUAUGGAUCUAGACUCCACUGAACAGCCACACUGAUUUAAGUGUCUUGGUCUUCUGUGGAGGCUACUCAAAAUAAAGACCAACUAUGAAAAUAUUCCAGAUGGAAAUACUACUAUGUUAGAGGUAUUAUGACUUUUCUUGUUACAUCUUCUCUAGAAUUAACCCUUGGCUCAAAAGCUGCAGGUAAACAAGCAUCACUUCAAGAUAUUUAGAUCUAUGGGUUCAAUAGGGCAAUAUAGCAACUUAUUUCAAAAGUAGAAAUAUCAUGUGCGAAGAUCAACUCUAUUCCCUUGCCAAACAAAAUUCCAUUAACUAACUUAAAUUGGACUUAAUAACAAUCACAUAAACUAAUUAGUUUCCAUUUAUAACUCCAUUAGGAGUAUUAUUCAUCGCAGCAUUGCCCGAUAGAGCUGUGCUUCUUCAGACUUUGAACAGAUUAAAUAAAUAUAACCUGGGGUGCUAAUUAUACAAUGAUGAUGCAGAGACUCCAAGAUUACUC
Molecule: long non-coding RNA, 1265 nt
Filed under: Macaca mulatta (Rhesus monkey)
Lineage: Eukaryota; Metazoa; Chordata; Mammalia; Primates; Cercopithecidae
Description: lncRNA (ENSMMUG00000053157.1)
Source: RNAcentral